GAGUUGACCUGCCCAGUGAAAGUUUUUUAACGGCCGCGGUACUCUGACCGUGCAAAGGUAGCAUAAUCAUUUGCCUUAUAAUUGAAGGCUAGUAUGAAUGGUUUGACGAAGGCAUUGCUGUCUCUAUUCUAAUUAAUAGAACUUAACAUCGGGGUGAAGAGGCCCGGGUAGAAUUGAAGGACAAGAAGACCCUGUCGAGCUUUAGAUGAAAGGUAGAUAUAAUUAUUAUAAAAAAUAAAAAUCUUCUAUACAUUUUUAGUUGGGGCGACUAGGGAACAUAUAAAGCUUCCCUUAAAAAAUAGACAUAUAAGUUAUGAUCCAGUAUUUACUGAUCGAAAGAAUUAGUUACCGCAGGGAUAACAGCAUAAUCUCUCUUGAGAGGCCUAAUCGAAAGAGGGGGUUGUGACCUCGAUGUUGGACUAGAAUAACCUAAAGGUGCAGAAGUCUUUAAGGGUUGGUCUGUUCGACCAUUAAAAUUCUACGUGAUCUGAGUUCAGACCGGA
RNAcentral lists this ribosomal RNA (503 nucleotides) under Diffalaba picta. RNAcentral's name for it is "partial large subunit ribosomal RNA". It matches the Rfam family "Bacterial large subunit ribosomal RNA", at positions 1849 to 2620 of the family's 2925-position model. The record is from RNAcentral. Lineage: Eukaryota; Metazoa; Mollusca; Gastropoda; Litiopidae.